This 114-nucleotide ribosomal RNA is filed under the name uncultured bacterium. RNAcentral's name for it is "partial 16S ribosomal RNA". It matches the Rfam family "Bacterial small subunit ribosomal RNA", at positions 1371 to 1482 of the family's 1533-position model. The record is from RNAcentral.
UUCCCGGGCCUUGUACACACCGCCCGUCACACCACGAAAGUCGGCAAUACCCGAAGCCGGUGGCCUAACCCGCAAAGGAGGGAGCCGUCGAAGGUAGGGUCGAUGAUUGGGGUG